This 468-nucleotide ribosomal RNA is filed under the name uncultured bacterium. Its description in RNAcentral is "partial 16S ribosomal RNA". It matches the Rfam family "Bacterial small subunit ribosomal RNA", at positions 28 to 507 of the family's 1533-position model. The record is from RNAcentral.
GAUGAACGCUGGCGGCGUGCUUAACACAUGCCAGUCGAACGGAAAGGCCAGUGCUUGCCCUGGUACUCGAGUGGCGAACGGGUGAGUAACACGUGGGUGAUCUGCCCUGUACUUCGGGAUAAGCUUGGGAAACUGGGUCUAAUACCGGAUAGGACAACUUUUUGGAUAUUGUUGUGGAAAGCUUUUGCGGUAUGGGAUGAGCUCGCGGCCUAUCAGCUUGUUGGUGGGGUAAUGGCCUACCAAGGCGUCGACGGGUAGCCGGCCUGAGAGGGUGUACGGCCAGAGUGGGACUGUGAUACGGGCCAGAGUCGUAAGGGAGGCAGCAGUGGGGAAUAUUGCACAAUGGGCGCCAGCGUGAGGCAGCGACGCCGCGUGGGGGAUGAAGGCCUUCGGGUUGUAAACUCCUUUCGCUAGGGACGAAGCGUUUUUGUGACGGUACCUGGAGAAGAAGCACCGGCUAACUACGUG